GACCAAGGAGUCUAACAUGUGCGCGAGUCGUAGGGUUACGCUCAAAGCCCGAAGGCGCAAUGAAAGUGAAGGUCGGCCUCGAUUGCCGUUACCUAGGCGGGAUCCGUUCGGGCUUACCGGUCGUUCGCGGCUGAGCCCGGCGGCGCACCGCCGGCCCGUCUCGACCGCAUCGCCGGUGAGGCGGAGCGAGAGCGUACACGUUGGGACCCGAAAGAUGGUGAACUAUGCCCGGGCAGGACGAAGCCAGAGGAAACUCUGGUGGAGGUCCGUAGCGAUUCUGACGUGCAAAUCGAUCGUCGGACCUGGGUAUAGGGGCGAAAGACUAAUCGAACCAUCUAGUAGCUGGUUUCCU
Molecule: ribosomal RNA, 352 nt
Filed under: Craterostigmus tasmanianus
Lineage: Eukaryota; Metazoa; Arthropoda; Chilopoda; Craterostigmomorpha; Craterostigmidae
Description: eukaryotic LSU rRNA
Rfam family: Eukaryotic large subunit ribosomal RNA
Source: RNAcentral